This 253-nucleotide ribosomal RNA is filed under the name uncultured bacterium. Its description in RNAcentral is "partial 16S ribosomal RNA". It matches the Rfam family "Bacterial small subunit ribosomal RNA", at positions 524 to 776 of the family's 1533-position model. The record is from RNAcentral.
UACAGAGGUCCCAAGCGUUGUUCGGAUUCAUUGGGCGUAAAGGGUGCGUAGGCGGCGCGGUAAGUCGGGUGUGAAAUCUCGGAGCUUAACUCCGAAACUGCAUUCGAUACUGCCGUGCUUGAGGACUGGAGAGGAGACUGGAAUUUACGGUGUAGAGGUGAAAUUCGUAGAUAUCGGGAGGAACACCUGUGGCGAAGGCGGCCAUCUGGACAGUUACUGACGCUGAGACGCGAAAGCGUGGGGAGCGAACAGG